RNAcentral lists this long non-coding RNA (3072 nucleotides) under Sus scrofa (pig). RNAcentral's name for it is "lncRNA (ENSSSCG00015061676.1)". Lineage: Eukaryota; Metazoa; Chordata; Mammalia; Artiodactyla; Suidae. The record is from RNAcentral.
CAGCCAACCCCAUGAAAGUCACUGUCCUUGAAAAGUCUAGCCAUGUCCUUUUUUCUCAUGCCCCUCAUCAGCAGCUGGCAUCAGCAUGAAAAAGCCCCCCCAAAUCCUCUAUCCACAAUGCCCAAUUCUUUGCUGAGCUCUAGACCUUGGACCCAGCUGCUCACAGGCUAUCUCCACGUGAAAGUCUGUAGGUGUCACACUCACGUCAUGAUCCCAGUUCCCCUCUCUGCCUGUCCCUGUCCCUGUUCUCCCAGGCUCAAGGUGUCUUCCUCAACCCUACCACCUGUCUCUUCCCUCCAUCCUGCACAGGGCGCCAGGAGCCAUCCGCCUUCCCUGUUGCACAAGUCUCAACCCUCUUUGUCAUUGCCUUUGUGCAGGAGUUUCGUGGGUCUUGCUUCUUUCACCUCCUCAGACUGAUCUCACCUUCAGUCCUGCCUCCUUCCAGCCCGUCAACCUCAUUCCCGUCACAUUCCAAACAGCCACGUCUCAGCGAAAACUUCCGAAGCCUUCUUCUUGCCUCUACCACCGGAGAAACUCGCAGGCUUUGCUCCUGGCCUACCGUCCUGCCCUCUUCCCUCCAAGAAGGCAGCAUCUCGUUUGUGUCUCCCCUGCACGUGGAACUGUACCAGCGCUGUGAGGGCUCCAUCUCUUCGCCCACAAUGCCCCUGUGCUGGAAGCAUUCCUUCUCCACUUCUCCAUCCAGGGAUCUCCUACAGAUAUGUCCUUCAAGGCUUUGUUCAACUCACCUGGUUCCAGAAGCCCAUCUUGAUGCUGUCAGAUCCCCGUUCAGACACCUCCCGGUCCCUUCGCCCCUUCCUGGAACAGUUAACAUAGCACUGAUGAUACUGGAUUAUAGUGCCUGGUUAUCUGUCUCCCUAACCCAGACUGUGCAAGUUUUAGCAGAAAAAACAACCUAUUUUUUUCCUUACUCCCAGCAUGUGGCACAGUGCCAGCCACAUAGGAGUCAUUCAAGAAGCUAUAUGUUAGUAGUGUAAUAAGAAGGAGAAUAUUAAUAAAAAUAAAAACCCAUAUUUGAAUAAUGCUUAUUUAAGGCACAAAAAAUGUUUUCACAAGCUUUCUCACAUUUGAUCCCCAAAGCAAUCUAUGUAGGUGAGUAGGACUGGAAAUGUUAGCCUCAAAGCAAAUGUGGAUAAUUUGUCUCAAAGAGAGUAGACGGCUUGGCCAAGGUGGCAGCUGGAAAGUGACAGGGGGGGGUCUCUCCAGAACCCACAUCUUCUGGCCAUAGUGCCACACUUCCCUCUUUCUCUGCAGAAAUGGACGAGACUGAGCCCCACUCCCUAAGCCCAUCUCUAUGGUUGCACGAGUACCCCUUCCCUGCUGAUGGCCAAGAGAAAACAAACCUAGAUUGAGUCUCUGCGGUCCAUGCACUUUCGCUACAUACAUAACUAGAACCAACUUGGAGCAGCUGGAAAUCCGUUCUCCCACUCCUGCUUGGCUACCUUAGCAGGUGUAAUGGAAUCUCUCAGGGCGUGAAAACUGCAGGGCUCAUCCCUCCUUCUGUCCACUGAGUGGCAGAAAAAUUAGUGCAAUCAAAGGCAAGCUUCUUUCACAUGUAAAGCUUAAUGAUCCUCAGCACAAAUGAGUUGUCAGGAAUUUUUCAGAACCGAAAAUCAUAGAAAGAGAAUGGGAAAAUAAAUUCUAUCCAAUUCUGAAGAUUCUAGUUGUGUGGCCGGUUUGAGAAAGAGUCCUUCUUUAAUAGGUGAAUGAAUCACACUGUGACCCAUAGAAACCAAUGGAAAAAAUCAGAUACGGGUAUAACAAGGGGUUCUAAAGCACCAGCCAUGUUGGGAAGGCCAUCCAGAAAAGCAGCCAAUACAGGACAGCUGUUUGCAGUGUCCCCCGGCCACUGCAAAGCAGUUGCUGAAUUUCCAGAUAUAGCUUGUGCUAUCUCUGGGAGUUCCCUGGUGGCCCAGGGGUUAAGGAUCUGGCAGUGUCACUGCUGUGGCAUGGGUUGGAGCUCUGGUCUGGGAACUUCCACAUGCCAAGAGUAUGACAAAAAACAAAACAAAACAAAACAAAACCCACAAACAAACAAAACAAAAAAUAGCUCUCUGUCGGGGCUGCCUAGUCAGUCACCAAGAAUUUGUGUAGCACCUACUCCGUUCAAAGCACUGUUCCAGGCACCACAGUUUCUGCAAUGAACAAAACAGACCAGGCCACACCUCUUAGCGAGCACACAUCCCACUGUGGAAAAGACAAUAAAAAAAGAAAAGAAAUGAAGGAGAGAACGUCUGCUAAUGGUAAAUAUUAUGAAGAGACUAAAAUCGGGUGCUAUGAUAGAAGGGACAGAAGUGGGGCUGGGGUAUCAUUUAGAAUGGAUGAUCCCAGAAGGUCUCACUGAGUUGGUGACUCCUGAAGCCAACAAGGCCAGCAAAACAAAAAGCCCAGCCUCAUAUUGCAGGCCCAACAGUGAAGGUGGAAAAUGUCACCUCUGGCCAGCCUGGGUACAGUUUGUGGUACAGGGCCACAGAGAACCAGUGUCAUUGGCUGCUGUUUCACGACAAUACAAUUACUAAGACCUUCUCUACAGUUUGUGAAGCACUUGAAAUAUUCAAAGUAGAAGCUAAUUCAGAGAUAUCUGGUCCAAUCCCUUUGUUUCCUGCAAGAAGAGGUGGGGUCUGUGGUGCGGCCUGGCUUUGUGUUCAUGUGUUCAUUCCAUAGCUGUCUUCUGAGCUUCACCUUGUACACGAUAUGACCCCUGGGGAUGCAGAGAUGAACAGAUAUGAAAGCCUUCAAGAAGGUUCCCCUCUAGAGCAGGACAUGGUAUGUGGACCACAUGGAGGGCAAAGAGCUGAAAAUCAUCCAGGACCCCACCUGGAUCUAGCCAGGGGCUCAGCCAGAUCUAGAACCCAGGCCCCAGAUCUCCAGUCCUAGGCUUUUUCUGCUUUGAUUCUUCCCCCUCCCACCCAAUAUUUCAAGCGGUUUGUUUUGUUGUUGUUGUUGUUGUGUCUUUUUUUUUUUUUUUUUGGUCUUUUUGCCAUUUCUUGGGCUGCUCCCAUGGCAUAAGGAGGUUCCCAAGCUAGGGGUCGAAUCGGAGCCAUAGCCACCGGC